This 468-nucleotide ribosomal RNA is filed under the name uncultured bacterium. Its description in RNAcentral is "partial 16S ribosomal RNA". It matches the Rfam family "Bacterial small subunit ribosomal RNA", at positions 28 to 507 of the family's 1533-position model. The record is from RNAcentral.
GACGAACGCUGGCGGCGUGCUUAACACAUGCAAGUCGAACGGAGAGUCCCUGCUUUUGUGGUGUGCUCGAGUGGCGAACGGGUGUGUAACACGUGUGUAACCUGCCCUUUACUUUGGGAUAACUUCAGGAAACUGGGGCUAAUACCGGAUAGGAGCUCCUGCUGCAUGGUGGUGGUUGGUAAGUUUCGGCGGUUGGGGAUGGACUCGCGGCUUAUCAGCUUGUUGGUGGGGUAGUGGCUUACCAAGGCUUUGACGGGUAGCCGGCCUGAGAGGGUGACCAGACAAGAUGGGAUUGAGAUACGGCACAGACGCCUAAGGGAGGGAACAGAGGGGAAUAUUGCACAAUGGGAGGAAGCAUGAUGCAGAAAAGCCGCGUGCGGAAUGACGGCCUACGGGUGGUAAAGAGCAUUCGGAUGUGAAGAAGGGUGAGUGACGGUAAUGGGUAAAGAAGCACCGGCUAACUACGUG